GGUGAGAUGGCCGAGUGGUUGAAGGCACUCCCCUGCUAAGGGAGUAUGCGAUGUUCUCGCAUCGAGGGUUCAAAUCCCUCUCUCACCA
RNAcentral lists this transfer RNA (88 nucleotides) under Buchnera aphidicola (Schlechtendalia chinensis). It matches the Rfam family "tRNA". From Rfam's summary of the family: Transfer RNA (tRNA) molecules are approximately 80 nucleotides in length. The record is from Rfam by way of RNAcentral. RNAcentral also lists the same sequence under 1 other name. Lineage: Bacteria; Pseudomonadati; Pseudomonadota; Gammaproteobacteria; Enterobacterales; Erwiniaceae.